This 915-nucleotide ribosomal RNA is filed under the name uncultured bacterium. RNAcentral's name for it is "bacterial SSU rRNA". It matches the Rfam family "Bacterial small subunit ribosomal RNA", at positions 26 to 870 of the family's 1533-position model. The record is from RNAcentral.
AGAACGAACGCUGGCGGCAGGCUUAACACAUGCAAGUCGAACGAUGUAGCAAUACAUAGUGGCGCACGGGUGAGUAACGCGUGGGAAUGUACCAUUUGGUGGGGAAUAACGUUGGGAAACUAACGCUAAUACCGCAUACGCCCUUCGGGGGAAAGUUUCUUAGAGUGAAUUGAGGAAAUGAGGAAUUGACGAAAUGAAGAAUAGAAAGUUUAUGCGCAAAGCGCAUUCUUUGUUUUCUUCAAUUCUCCAGUUCUUCCAUUCUUCAAUUCAUUCUUUGAUUCGCCAAAUGAUCAGCCCGCGUGAGAUUAGGUAGUUGGUGGGGUAAUGGCCUACCAAGCCUACGAUCUCUAGCUGGUCUGAGAGGAUGAUCAGCCACACUGGAACUGAGACACGGUCCAGACUCCUACGGGAGGCAGCAGUGGGGAAUAUUGGGCAAUGGACGAAAGUCUGACCCAGCCAUGCCGCGUGAAUGAUGAAGGCCUUAGGGUUGUAAAGUUCUUUCGCCGAUGAAGAUAAUGACGGUAGUCGGAGAAGAAGCCCCGGCUAACUUCGUGCCAGCAGCCGCGGUAAUACGAAGGGGGCUAGCGUUGUUCGGAAUUACUGGGCGUAAAGCGAGCGUAGGUUGCUCGAUAAGUCAGUGGUGAAAGCCCAGAGCUCAACUCUGGAACUGCCAUUGAAACUGUCGAGCUGGAAUGUCAGAGGGGAUAGCGGAAUUCCAAAUGUAGGGGUGAAAUCCGUAGAUAUUUGGAGGAACACCGGUGGCGAAGGCGGCUAUCUGGAUGACUAUUGACACUGAGGCUCGAAAGCGUGGGGAUCAAACAGGAUUAGAUACCCUGGUAGUCCACGCUGUAAACGAUGGAUGCUAGUUGUUAGGGGGUUCCCCUUUAGUGACGUAGCUAACGCGUUAAGCAUCCC